RNAcentral lists this ribosomal RNA (347 nucleotides) under uncultured Alternaria. RNAcentral describes it as "SSU rRNA". It matches the Rfam family "Eukaryotic small subunit ribosomal RNA", at positions 1326 to 1695 of the family's 1831-position model. The record is from RNAcentral. Lineage: Eukaryota; Fungi; Ascomycota; Dothideomycetes; Pleosporales; Pleosporaceae.
CGAUAACGAACGAGACCUUACUCUGCUAAAUAGCCAGGCUAACUUUGGUUGGUCGCCGGCUUCUUAGAGAGACUAUCAACUCAAGUUGAUGGAAGUUUGAGGCAAUAACAGGUCUGUGAUGCCCUUAGAUGUUCUGGGCCGCACGCGCGCUACACUGACAGAGCCAACGAGUUCUUUUCCUUGUUCGAAAGAAUUGGGUAAUCUUGUUAAACUCUGUCGUGCUGGGGAUAAAGCAUUGCAAUUAUUGCUUUUCAACGAGGAAUGCCUAGUAAGCGCGUGUCAUCAGCAUGCGUUGAUUACGUCCCUGACCUUUGUACACACCGCCCGUCGCUACUACCGAUUGAAUG